This 253-nucleotide non-coding RNA is filed under the name unidentified. The record is from RNAcentral.
CCUCUCCUAUCCUGCUUCGGUGAAGGAGCCUUCGAGUAAGGGAAGAGGGUCGAAGCCCUCGCGGUCCCGCCGCUGUGAAUGGGGACGAAACCCGUUGAUGCCACUUGCGUGGCUGUGAAGCGUUGUUUCGUGAAGCGCUCGUGUUAUGACGCGAGAUACGAUUCACGAGAUAUGUUUCAUGUGCAUGCUGGGAAGGCACGGGGAGUAGGGGGAACCAUGAGCCAGAAGACCUGCUCGAAGAGAUGACCGUCGU